GGAGUUUGGGCCGUGUCUCAGUCCCAAUGUGGCCGUACACCCUCUCAGGCCGGCUACUGAUCGUCGCUUUGGUGGGCCGUUACCCCGCCAACUGGCUAAUCAGACGCGGGUCCAUCUCGUACCACCGGAGUUUUUCACACUGUACCAUGCAGUACUGUGCGCUUAUGCGGUAUUAGCAGUCAUUUCUAACUGUUAUCCCCCUGUACAAGGCAGGUUACCCACGCGUUACUCACCCGUCCGCCACUCAGUCAAUCAAAUCUUCCUCCCGAAGGAUUCUGUCUUGAUUGCUUCGUUCAACUUGCAUGUGUUAGGCACGCCGCCAGCGUUCAUC
Molecule: ribosomal RNA, 331 nt
Filed under: uncultured Lachnospiraceae bacterium
Lineage: Bacteria; Bacillati; Bacillota; Clostridia; Lachnospirales; Lachnospiraceae
Description: partial 16S ribosomal RNA
Source: RNAcentral